This 383-nucleotide ribosomal RNA is filed under the name uncultured bacterium. Its description in RNAcentral is "bacterial SSU rRNA". It matches the Rfam family "Bacterial small subunit ribosomal RNA", at positions 29 to 412 of the family's 1533-position model. The record is from RNAcentral.
AUUGAACGCUGGCGGAAUGCUUUACACAUGCAAGUCGAACGGCAGCGACGGGGGCAACCCUGGUGGCGAGUGGCGAACGGGUGAGUAAUACAUCGGAACGUGCCCAGUCGUGGGGGAUAACGUAGCGAAAGCUACGCUAAUACCGCAUACGAACUCUGGUUGAAAGGCGGGGAUCGCAAGACCUCGCGCGAUUGGAGCGGCCGAUGGCAGAUUAGGUAGUUGGUGGGGAAAGGCCUACCAAGCCGACGAUCUGUAGCUGGUCUGAGAGGACGACCAGCCACACUGGGACUGAGACACGGCCCAGACUCCUACGGGAGGCAGCAGUGGGGUAAUUUUGGACAAUGGACGCAAGUCUGAUCCAGCCAUUCCGCGUGCAGGAUGAA